This 20-nucleotide transfer RNA is filed under the name Gallus gallus (chicken). RNAcentral describes it as "partial tRNA-Gly". Lineage: Eukaryota; Metazoa; Chordata; Aves; Galliformes; Phasianidae. The record is from RNAcentral.
UAUCAACCCAGAGAAGAGCA